This 354-nucleotide ribosomal RNA is filed under the name uncultured bacterium. RNAcentral's name for it is "partial 16S ribosomal RNA". It matches the Rfam family "Bacterial small subunit ribosomal RNA", at positions 338 to 706 of the family's 1533-position model. The record is from RNAcentral.
CCUACGGGAGGCUGCAGUGGGGAAUAUUGGGCAAUGGGCGCAAGCCUGAACCAGCAACGCCGCGUGAAGGAUGAAGGCUUUCGGGUUGUAAACUUCUUUUCUCAGGGACGAAGAUAGUGACGGUUCCUGAGGAAUCAGCCACUGCUAACUACGUGCCAGCCGCCGCGGUAAUACGGAGGGUGCCAGCACUAUCCGGAUUUACUGGGUGUAAAGGGCGUGUCGGGGGGAUUGGAAGUCAGAUGUGAAAGCCACGUGCUCAACCUUGGUACUGUAUUUGAAACUGUAGUUCUUGAGUGCGGGAGGGGAAGGGGGAAUGCGUGGUGUAGCGGUGAAAUGCGUAGAGAUCAGGAGGAA